This 429-nucleotide ribosomal RNA is filed under the name uncultured prokaryote. Its description in RNAcentral is "bacterial SSU rRNA". It matches the Rfam family "Bacterial small subunit ribosomal RNA", at positions 355 to 774 of the family's 1533-position model. The record is from RNAcentral.
UCGAGAAUAGUCUACAAUGGUCGAAAGACUGAUAGUGCGACGCCGCGUGAACGAAGAAGCCCUUCGGGGUGUAAAGUUCUUUUAUAUGUGAGCAAUGCCUUUUAUGUGAAUAGCAUGAGAGGAGCGAUAUUAGCAUAUGAAUAAGCAACGGCUAACUCCGUGCCAGCAGCCGCGGUAACACGGGGGUUGCGAGCGUUGUCCGGAAUUACUAGGCGUAAAGGGCAGGUAGGCGGAUAGAUAAGUUUGAUGUUAAAGGCGACGGCUCACCCGUCGUAAGGCAUUAGAUACUGUUUAUCUGGAAUGCGGUUGGGGAAGACAGAAUUCCUGGUGUAGCGGUGGAAUGCGCAGAGAUCAGGAGGAAUACCAAAGGCGAAGGCAGUCUUCUAAGCCGUUAUUGACGCUAAACUGCGAAGGUGUGGGUAUCAAACA